GGGUGCAAUCAUACCAGCAAUAAUGCACCGGAUACCAUCAACAUUUCGCGGAUAAGCGUGUUUGGGCGAUAGUAGUACUAAGAUGGGUGACCUUUUGGGAACUCCUCGUAUUACACUCC
Beta vulgaris subsp. vulgaris (sugar beet) is the source of this 119-nucleotide non-coding RNA. Lineage: Eukaryota; Viridiplantae; Streptophyta; Magnoliopsida; Caryophyllales; Amaranthaceae. The record is from Rfam.